Long non-coding RNA from Hyaena hyaena (striped hyena), 777 nucleotides. RefSeq lists it as uncharacterized. The transcript has 2 exons. The record is from RefSeq and is a predicted model, not a curated record. NCBI's taxonomy places the organism in Eukaryota, Metazoa, Chordata, Mammalia, Carnivora, Hyaenidae.
UCUUCCCAGACCAAAGUGUCCGCUGGGAAACCAGUGGGGUGGCCUUGGAGUUCUCGCCUGGAGGACUGAGAAGGCCCCACGCAUGCAACUAGUGGCAGAAGUUUCAAGGGAUGGCGUCACUCCAGGCGGAUGGUCCAGUCUUGACCUAUUCUUGGUACUAAGUCGGGUGAGGCUGAGAAUACCAGGAUUCUGCGUUGGGAGUCAAAUACAGGAAUAUGCUGGAAGGGAGUUUAAAACACUCUUUGGAGUGUGGUCCCUGCCAUUAAGAAAUUGACUAUCCAAUUGGAGAGAUGAGACACUUUCACCCAUAAAGGAAGGAAAUAAGAAAGCAGGUGAUGAAACCUAAUCAGAAAAUCACAUCUAAGACUGAGCCAAGAGUUUGGAUGUGUUUGGAUGUGUUUCAGAAAAGAGCCAACUUGAAUCAACCUGUUAUCACCAUCCUCACCAACACCCUUUUCCCCCCAACACAGGCAUAAGCUACCGGAGCAACCCUACAACUUCACAGCUUUGAAGUCCUUAUCAAAGCAACAGAAGUUCUUUGGCAACUCCCCAGGGCCACUUAACACUUCCUGGAGCUUCAUGUAUCAGGAGCUCCCAGAACUCUACCAAAACAGAUCUUUGGCCACCACAGCCCCUUGCUAGGUUCUGGGUAAACAGGUUGGUGAGGACAGGCCAAGAUCUGCUUCAUGUAUCAAGCCUGAAGCCGGAGCACAUCCAUGGAUGCUUUCCAGGAAUUUACCUAGAUUUGACCUGAAAUAUUAACAUCUAGGGUCUUAA